Molecule: ribosomal RNA, 486 nt
Filed under: uncultured bacterium
Lineage: Bacteria
Description: partial 16S ribosomal RNA
Rfam family: Bacterial small subunit ribosomal RNA
Source: RNAcentral
AUUGAACGCUGGCGGCAUGCCUUACACAUGCAAGUCGAACGGCAGCACGGGUGCUUGCACCUGGUGGCGAGUGGCGAACGGGUGAGUAAUACAUCGGAACAUGUCCUGUAGUGGGGGAUAGCCCGGCGAAAGCCGGAUUAAUACCGCAUACGAUCUACGGAUGAAAGCGGGGGACCUUCGGGCCUCGCGCUAUCGGGUUGGCCGAUGGCUGAUUAGCUAGUUGGUGGGGUAAAGGCCUACCAAGGCGACGAUCAGUAGCUGGUCUGAGAGGAUGACCAGCCACACUGGGACUGAGACACGGCCCAGACUCCUACGGGAGGCAGCAGUGGGGAAUUUUGGACAAUGGGCGAAAGCCUGAUCCAGCAAUGCCGCGUGUGUGAAGAAGGCCUUCGGGUUGUAAAGCACUUUUGUCCGGAAAGAAAUCCUUGGCCCUAAUACGGUCGGGGGAUGACGGUACCGGAAGAAUAAGCACCGGCUAACUACGUG